AAUCACCCUUUGGAUCUUUUUCUAGGGGGCUCAGCCGUUUCCCCACGUUUGACAGCACCAGGAGGGCCGUGCAGUGGGUUUUUCUCUCUCUGUUCAGCCCUCGCCAUGGGGCAGGGCGGUCCUGGGGGGGGUACAGAAGCCUGCAGGCUUGGGUUCCUCCCACCCUCUCCUCCUUCACUGCGGUCCUGUUGUGGGUCCCCGCCACAAAGCGGUGUGUGUGUGCGGCUUCUCUUCCUCCUCCUCCAUGUUGUGCCGCAGGUUCUGUUUUCUGAACAAGGGACCGCUCUGCCCCACCUCCGGGAUGUUUUCAGGUCAGGGCAUGGGGGGGUUUGAUCCUGGCUGUGGUCGCCUCCCACCUUCUCCCCUCCUUCUCUUCCCCCUUGCAGACUCCUACAUGACCUUCCCGGGGAAAUCCUUCUAUGGGGCUCUGUCCGUGGAUCUCAGCUUCCGGUCACUGCGGGUGGCCCGGCGUCAGUGCAGCGCCUUGGGCCGGGGCUGCAGCGGGGUGCUCAGCACCACCGCCGGCCACCGCCUCAGCCUGGGGACCCGCUUCGUCACCCUCCGGGGCUCGGCGGCCGACCCUGCUGCCACCGUCCAUGUGAAGAUGAGGUGCUCGCCCGGCUAUUCUGGGCAGGACUGCCAGUCCAUGUGCCCCCCCUGCGAACCCCGGCUGAGCUGCAACCCCCUGAGCGGCCUUUGUGAGGGCCUCCUCCAGGACGGGCCGGCGCCUGGUAAGCUGGGUGGGAACCCGGGGGGCGCGUGAAGCCGCCUCGUGCUGCGGCAGUCUACCUGCGGGCCUGGUCUUGUAUGCACUGUGGAUUCUGCUUUUCUGGUCUCUCUUAUAUUCACACUUGCCCAUAUGCCCGGCUGGCCUCUCCCCUGGCCCGUGGGGCAGAGAGGGGGUUCCUUUGGAAGAGGGGCCCUGUGGAGGCUAUUGGCCCACACCCUGCGACCCCCAGACCCCCAUGGCUGAACCCCACAGCUCACAAGGGUGCAGGGAGCAUCUUGCUGACGCCUGGCAGAGGCUACGGCUGCUUCCAGGGUUCUGCCUGCGAGGAGCCAGCCCUCUUUCUCCCCACAGAUGCCACAGUCUCCUCUCUGAAGUGCCUGCCGUUGGGCGUGUGGGUCUUCGAGCGGGGGGUUUGCCUGUCUGCAGAGUGCUACGACGAGCGGGAGGAAGCCGCCUCCGCUUGCCAACGCUACCUGGGCGCAACCGUGACGAAGAUCAGGCCUCUGCUGGGACAGGCCCCGGAGGGCUUCGCUGGACCACAAGCAAGCGGCGUUGAGCCCGACAGUUUCCUUUGGGCUUGCCAACGAGCGGAAGGUGGGUGCUGUCCUCCUCCUCCUCCUCCACCACCUCCCUUCUGGGCAGGAGUGCAGGAUCCCACCUGGUGGGAUGGCUGGGAGGAAUAG
RNAcentral lists this long non-coding RNA (1413 nucleotides) under Pogona vitticeps (central bearded dragon). Its description in RNAcentral is "lncRNA (ENSPVIG00000013073.1)". The record is from RNAcentral. Lineage: Eukaryota; Metazoa; Chordata; Lepidosauria; Squamata; Agamidae.